AGUAAAUAGAUACCCGGGUAGUCCACGCCGUAAACGAUGUCGACUUGGAGGUUGUGCCCUUGAGGCGUGGCUUCCGGAGCUAAACGCGUUAAAGUCGACCGCCUGGGGAGUACGGCCGCAAGGUUAAAACUCAAAUGAAUUGACGGGGGCCCGCACAAGCGGUGGAGCAUGUGGUUUAAUUCGAUGCAACGCGAAGAACCUUACCUACUCUUGACAUCCAGAGAACUCAGCAGAGAUGCUUUGGUGCCUUCGGGAACUCUGAGACAGGUGCUGCAUGGCUGUCGUCAGCUCGUGUUGUGAAAUGUUGGGUUAAGUCCCGCAACGAGCGCAACCCUUAUCCUUUGUUGCCAGCGGUUAGGCCGGGAACUCAAAGGAGACUGCCAGUGAUAAACUGGAGGAAGGUGGGGAUGACGUCAAGUCAUCAUGGCCCUUACGAGUAGGCUACACACGUGCUACAAUGGCGCAUACAAAGAGAAGCGACCUCGCGAGAGCAAGCGGACCUCAUAAAGUGCGUCGUAGUCCGG
This 524-nucleotide ribosomal RNA is filed under the name uncultured bacterium. Its description in RNAcentral is "bacterial SSU rRNA". It matches the Rfam family "Bacterial small subunit ribosomal RNA", at positions 775 to 1296 of the family's 1533-position model. The record is from RNAcentral.